This 808-nucleotide ribosomal RNA is filed under the name uncultured bacterium. RNAcentral's name for it is "bacterial SSU rRNA". It matches the Rfam family "Bacterial small subunit ribosomal RNA", at positions 8 to 805 of the family's 1533-position model. The record is from RNAcentral.
AGAGUUUGAUCCUGGCUCAGAUUGAACGCUUGCGGCAUGCUUUACACAUGCAAGUCGGACGGCAGCACAGAGAAGCUUGCUUCUUGGGUGGCGAGUGGCGAACGGGUGAGUAACAUAUCGGAACGUACCGAGUAAUGGGGGAUAACUAAUCGAAAGAUUAGCUAAUACCGCAUAUUCUCUGAGGAGGAAAGCAGGGGACCUUCGGGCCUUGCGUUAUUCGAGCGGCCGAUAUCUGAUUAGCUAGUUGGUGGGGUAAAGGCCUACCAAGGCGACGAUCAGUAGCGGGUCUGAGAGGAUGAUCCGCCACACUGGGACUGAGACACGGCCCAGACUCCUACGGGAGGCAGCAGUGGGGAAUUUUGGACAAUGGGCGCAAGCCUGAUCCAGCCAUGCCGCGUGUCUGAAGAAGGCCUUCGGGUUGUAAAGGACUUUUGUCAGGGAAGAAAAGGCUGUUGCUAAUAUCGACAGUUGAUGACGGUACCUGAAGAAUAAGCACCGGCUAACUACGUGCCAGCAGCCGCGGUAAUACGUAGGGUGCGAGCGUUAAUCGGAAUUACUGGGCGUAAAGCGAGCGCAGACGGUUACUUAAGCAGGAUGUGAAAUCCCCGGGCUCAACCUGGGAACUGCGUUCUGAACUGGGUGACUAGAGUGUGUCAGAGGGAGGUAGAAUUCCACGUGUAGCAGUGAAAUGCGUAGAGAUGUGGAGGAAUACCGAUGGCGAAGGCAGCCUCCUGGGAUAACACUGACGUUCAUGCUCGAAAGCGUGGGUAGCAAACAGGAUUAGAUACCCUGGUAGUCCACGCCCUAA